GGACUCUAUUGAGGCCCCGUAAUCGGAAUGAGUACACUUUAAAUCCUUUAACAAGGAUCCAUUGGAGGGCAAGUCUGGUGCCAGCAGCCGCGGUAAUUCCAGCUCCAAUAGCGUAUAUUAAAGUUGUUGCGGUUAAAAAGCUCGUAGUUGGUUCUGCGUGCCGCGCUGUCGGUUCGCCGCCUGUCGGUGUAACUGGCAUGUCGCGGCAUGUCCUGUCGGUGGUAAACGGGGUCCCCGGUGCUGCUAGCGGCUUUUUAGCCAAAGUUAGUGCCGUGUGUGUCCUCGUUUGCCGAUCUCUCCUACUCCGGUGCUCUUAAACGAGUGACGAGGUAGGCCGACACGUUCACUUUGAACAAAUUAGAGUGCUUAAAGCAGGCUGAAAUAUCUGCCUGAAUAGUGGUGCAUGGAAUGAUAAAAUAGGACCUCGGUUCUAUUUUGUUGGUUUUAGGAAUAUGAGGUAAUGAUCAAUGUGGACAGGCGGGGGCAUUCGUAUUGCGACGUUAGAGGUGAAAUUCUUGGAUCGUCGCAAGACGCACUAGAGCGAAAGCAUUUGCCAAGUAUGUCUUAAUUGAUCAAGAACGAAAGUUAGAGGUUCGAAGGCGAUCAGAUACCGCCCUAGUUCUAACCAUAAACGAUGCCAGCCAGCGAUCCGCCGAUGUUCCUAUAAUGACUCGGCGGGGAGCUUCUACCCGGGAAACCAAAGCUUUUGGGUUCCGGGGGAAGUAUGGUUGCAAAGCUGAAACUUAAAGGAAUUGACGGAAGGGCACCACCAGGAGUGGAGC
RNAcentral lists this ribosomal RNA (782 nucleotides) under Ploiaria phyllodoce. Its description in RNAcentral is "SSU rRNA". It matches the Rfam family "Eukaryotic small subunit ribosomal RNA", at positions 488 to 1182 of the family's 1831-position model. The record is from RNAcentral. Lineage: Eukaryota; Metazoa; Arthropoda; Insecta; Hemiptera; Reduviidae.